AUGAGAGAUUUAUCUGUGCUUCCAAUAAUCCAUGUUGGGCAGUGCUUGGGCUCUGGAGACAGGAAGUUCAGGAGGGAGGACUGGGCAUGGAGGAAGAUCGGGGGUCCAGUGCUCGUGUGUGAGGACCUCUGGGAUUUCAGAUGCUGGGCAGGAGAUCAGGAGGUGCCAGCUGAUCCCUGUUCUGGCCAGGAGAGCAAAUGUGCAAGGACAUUAGUGAAGCACUUACAGCCCCACCGUGAGGCGCUGCAGCACCCUCAAGCAACGUCGCUUUUGUGCAGGACUUCAUGGUUUGUGGAUCGUUUUUACCACGGUUAUGUCCUCAUGAGCCUGGGGUAUAGGCACGAGUCCCACUUUAUAAAUGAGGACAGGGAAGCUUGGAGAGGUACAGAACGGGGCAAAAGGACCCAGAGGGAGCGAGUGGCAGAACAGCCCUGGGUUUCUGACUCUGGUCUGACAACAUUUGUGUGUGAGGAGACCCCUGAUGUCACCCAGAAAGCGAGCAUUCCUGUCUCAUAGGGUUUAGCCCUCCCUAGGGAUAGAAUGGGUGCUCUAUAAGGAUCAGAAUUGUUGAAUCAGGAUGUGGGUUUUGGAUUCAGACAGAUCUGUAUUCAAGCCAUCUUCUAACUGUGUGCCUUUGGGAAGGCACUUCGAGUCUCUGAUCUUCCAGUUCCUCACCUGUCACAGAUUGAGUGUGCACCUCCUGCUUGGGGCUGCUGUGAGUGUACUGGAGAGAGCAGACAUCACAUGGCGCACUCAACCUGGCACGUAGUAGGCGUCUAAUAAGUGUAGGACUCUUGAGUUCACGACAGUUUAAACACUGGCUUCUACACCCUUUCAUUUCUACACUCCUUUCAUUGGGAUGAAAGAGGAUGAUUGCAAGAACUCAUUUCUAUAUCUCUCCUGGCACACAUUUAUUUUAAAACUCUGUACGUGCCAAGGAGGCAAUGGGACCGCACCCCUCUGAUUCUUUCAUGCCUAAGUCAGCAGGCACUGUGUGCUCAGAGGCCUUGGACUGGCCUCCUCCUCCAUGGCCUUGGCUUUCCUGGUCCUGCAGACGUGGAGGCCUCCUUUGCCCUGACCCAGAUGGACUCCCACACCGAGCUGAAACAAGGGACUUUCCCAAGCUCACCUGACAGAGCGAGCUGAAAGCCCUACUCCUCACCCCUGCAAAGUAUGCCCUAGCUCAGGUUGGUGGCAGUCAGGCAGUGACUCUACAAAUUAUAAGGGCAUCAGUCUCAUUUGGGUUUCUCAAAGCAAUGAUUAAUGUACCCAUUUUACAGAUGGGGAAACUGGGGCCAAGAGAACCAUGUAUUAAACUUUUACAUGCUCCAAAUGUGCCAGGUGUUCUGUUCACUUUCUUUUUAAUCUUCAUGAGGGAUUAGAGAGGUAGAAACUGAGGCUUAGGAAUGUGAAGUGCUUUGUUUUUGUUUUUGUUUGUUUGUUUUUUUUUGACAGGCAGAGUGGACAGUGAGAGAGAGACAGAGAGAAAGGUCUUCCCUUGCCGUUGGUUCACCCUCCAAUGGGCACUGCGGCCAGCGCGCUGCGACCGGCGCACUGCGCUGAUCCGAUGGCAGGAGCCAGGUACUUCUCCUGGUCUCCCGUGGGGUGCAGGGUCCAAGCACUUGGGCCAUCCUCCACUGCACUCCCUGGCCACAGCAGAGAGCUGGCCUGGAAGAGGAGCAACCGGGACAGAAUCCGGUGCCCCGACCGGGACUAGAACCCAGUGUGCCAGCGCUGCAAGGCGGAGGAUUAGCCUAGUGAGCUACGGUGCCCGCCGAAGUGCUUUGUUUAAGAUCACACUAUGUAUUAGUUAGGGUAAGAAUUAAGAUGCUCCCGAGAGACCUCAAAAUUGCAUUAGUAAAAUAAGAUCAAAGCCAGCUGCAGUAUCGUGGGACCCUGUACUGUAGGGGCAUAUAGGUGGAGUGGGUUGGGCGCACAGCUCUGUUCAGUUACUCAGGUAUCCACAUUUCUUCUUAUUCUACUCUUCCUUAGAGUAUUACCUUGUCCGUCUGGUCCAAGUUGUUUCACUGUGUUUCGUCCCAUGGGAAGGGGAAAAGAGGAGACAUGAAAGGCAAACAAUUUCCACUCGCAGUUUGUUGGUAAGAGCAUAGUUGUAACCUAGCUGCAAGAGAGCCUGGGAGACAGAACUCUGAGCUGAGCAACCAUUUGCCUAACCCAGGCUCUGUCACUACUACACAUGAGUGCUAAUCCACAGUGAGUGGAAGAGCUAUUGUUUUCAAAUUUAAUCUAUCUGAGAAGCAGAAAGAGAGAAAGAGAGGGAGAGGGAGAGGGAGAGGGAGAGGGAGAGAGAGAGAGAGAGAGAGAGAGAGAGAGAGAGGGAGAGAACACUCCCAGCUACUAGUUCAUCUCUCAAAUGCCCACAGUGGUCAGGGCUGGGCUGGGCCAAAGCCAAGAACUUAAUCCAGGUCUCCCAUAUGGGAGGCAGAAACAACUUCUUGAGCCAUCAUUACUGCCUCCCAUAGUCUGCAUCAGUAAGAAGCUGAAUUCAGGAGCUAGAGUUGGGAACUAGCAAGUACUCUAUUAUGAGACACAGGCUUAUGAACUGAUCUUUUAACUGCUAAGUCAAACACCCCCCACCCCAGAGCUGCUUUGAAUACAAGUCUCUCUGCUCUUUCCAUCACCCAACAGAUGUUGGGGAAGAAGGUAGCUUUGCUGCCUUGACUUCUGCUCCGCUUUGGCAUUCAGAUCAUCUUGGUCCUGUGGUCCGACACCUGCUGAUAUCAGCACAAGUGAACAUGUAGAAUGUGCUGUCACAUGGCGUUUUUCCUGUGUUCUUUCAUCUAACAGAAUCUCUGUGUAGAAAUCUCCUAAAGGGGGAUCUGAAGAGCUCCGUGACACUGGGCAUGAGGACGUGGCCGGCCAUCUUCUUUCUUCUUCCUUGGAGUUCAGUGCCUGAGGUCCACACACAUCUUGCCACUUUCGGUUGAUGGAGCACAAUCCAGCCAUUACAAAGAAUGGGGAAGAUAUUUGUGGACUGGUAAUGGAAGAAUUGUUUAGCAAUAUUGCUAAGUGGAGAAAGAAAGGGGCAGAACACUGUCCUCAGUGGCUACCAGUGGGUGAGCAUGACCACUUGCUGCUCUUACUGGAGAAGAAUUCUUAAAGGGUAGGCCAGGGGGCCGGGGUUGUGGCGUAGAGGGUAAAGCCACCACCUGUGAUACAGGUAUCUCAUAUGGGCACUGAUUCGUGUUCUGGCUGCUCCACUUCUGAUCCAGCUGCCUGCUAAUGGCCUGGGAAAAAGCAGUGGAAAAUGGCCCAAGUGUUUGGACCCCUGUACCCACAUGGGAGACCUGAAUGAAGAUCCUGGCAUCAGCCUGGGUUAGCCGUAGCUGUUGUGGCCAUCUGGGGAGUGACCCAGCAGAUGGAAGAUCUCUCUCUCUGUCUGUUCCUCUGUCUCUGAAGCUUUGAUUUUCAAAUAAACAAAUAAAUCUUAAAAAAAGGCA
This 3461-nucleotide long non-coding RNA is filed under the name Oryctolagus cuniculus (rabbit). Its description in RNAcentral is "lncRNA (ENSOCUG00000035851.1)". Lineage: Eukaryota; Metazoa; Chordata; Mammalia; Lagomorpha; Leporidae. The record is from RNAcentral.